GACGAACGCUGGCGGCGUGCCUAAUACAUGCAAGUCGACCUUAGUGGCGAACGGGUGAUUAACACGUGGGUAACCUGCCCAUCAGAAGGGGAUAACACUUGGAAACAGGUGCUAAUACCGUAUACUGAUGGAUGGACCCGCUGUGCAUUAGCUAGUUGGGGAGGUAACGGCUCACCAAGGCCACGAUGCAUAGCGGGGCUGAGAGGGUGAUCGGGCACAUUGGGACUGAGACACGGCCAAAACGCCUACGGGAGGCAGCAGUAGGGAAGCGUCGACAAUGGACGAAAGUCUGACCGAGCAACGCCGCGUGAGUGAAGAAGGUUUUCGGAUCGGAAAACUCUGUUGUUAGAGAAGCGGUAUGUAACCAGAAAGCAACGGCUAACUACGUGCCAGCAGCCGCGGUAAUAC
This 408-nucleotide ribosomal RNA is filed under the name uncultured bacterium. Its description in RNAcentral is "partial 16S ribosomal RNA". It matches the Rfam family "Bacterial small subunit ribosomal RNA", at positions 28 to 526 of the family's 1533-position model. The record is from RNAcentral.